AUGCUCACUUCAGCAGCACAUGUACUAAAAUUGGAAUUAUACAGAGAAGAUUAGCAUGGCCCUUGUUCAAGAAUGACACAGAAAUUAGUGAAGAAUCUUUUGAUAGU
Dromiciops gliroides (monito del monte) is the source of this 107-nucleotide small nuclear RNA. NCBI's taxonomy places the organism in Eukaryota, Metazoa, Chordata, Mammalia, Microbiotheria, Microbiotheriidae. The record is from RefSeq and is a predicted model, not a curated record.